AGCAGCAGCCGCGGGAAUACGUAGGUCCCGAGCGUUGUCCGGAUUUAUUGGGCGUAAAGCGAGCGCAGGCGGUUAGAUAAGUCUGAAGUUAAAGGCUGUGGCUUAACCAUAGUACGCUUUGGGAACUGUUUAACUUGAGUGCAAGAGGGGAGAGUGGAAUUCCAUGUGUAGCGGUGAAAUGCGUAGAUAUAUGGAGGAACACCGGUGGCGAAAGCGGCUCUCUGGUCUGUAACUGACGCUGAGGCUCGAAAGCGUGGGGAGCAAACAGGAUUAGAUACCCCCGUAGUCCCUGUCUCUUAUACA
This 303-nucleotide ribosomal RNA is filed under the name uncultured bacterium. RNAcentral's name for it is "partial 16S ribosomal RNA". It matches the Rfam family "Bacterial small subunit ribosomal RNA", at positions 507 to 808 of the family's 1533-position model. The record is from RNAcentral.